GAAUGGAAGCUUGUUUUGUGCAACAGGGAGGGUCAAUUGAAUGCAAAAGCUACCCAGUACACAUUAAGUUGGACGUUGGUUGCAAUGCUCUCGUUAAGUUUUUGUCACACACUGUCACUACAUGACCGAUAAUGUAUCGUGUGUAGUCAUUUAUGUAGUAAUUUAAAUGCUUCUUAGUGCUUUUGGUAUGUGUCAAGUAAAAUAAUUGGCGGCAGCCUAUUAGAAGACUUGGAGGCGUGGCUUGUUGGGAGUGUAGUCUCCGAUGAGACGGUUUGUCAUGCCAGUUAAUGUGUUGAAUUGUGUUCUGUAAAGGUUAAACUGCUGGGAAGUCGCAAGAUGAAGGGCUAUACCUGAAUGGUUGUCGGAUUUGGGAACCCAUUGCAGUGGGUAGGAAAAAAAGGAAUAAAGUGGAACGUAUUAAGAGUAAAUAGAGUGCUGGACAAUGAAAUUGAACAUGACGAAAUUGAGGAUUAAUUGACUGCGUUGGCAGGUGUCGGGAAGACCGCCGAGUUUGAGCCUCGUCCGAUGAGGAUAAUUUGGUUUUUUGCUAAGUAUGAGAGUUGGAGAGAAUGUGUCCUUGACUUCUGGCUGAUCCACAUAUGGUUUCGGGUUGAGUGGAGAAGAGGUUGGAGAAUGUUGGGUCGGUGAAAGUGACUCGAAGUGGAAUCAUGUGGAUUUUUUUUUUGCGUUUCUGCCAUCCAGAAGGACAAGAACUGAGACUUGCUUUCCUCUCCAUUGCAGGGCGCCGUUGAAAGGAGUGAUAACUGGAGUUGAAGAUUCCUGGUGUCUGUGACACCUGCCGUUUGGUGCGAUGCAGACCCGGUGGAGAGCGUGGUGAAACAGAGAAGACACUCUGUAAUACUGAGUUUUGAUGCAGAGUUUUUACCAGUUAUGGUCAUGUGGCAGAUGUCUAGUUAACUAUGUGUAUGACACCACCUACUGGUGCUGAGUACUUGCUGACACUACCUACAGCAGAUUAUGAAACAAGGAAACCAUUCAGCUGGGGGAAGAUCUUCCACCACCACACCACUAACACACAAACAGAUUUACUUCCUAACCUUAUGUCCUCAAACUCAGGUCUGGAAACUGAGGCCAUCUCUGUAAGGAACUCACUGUUGGUCCAUGUGAGAGUGAGGUGG
Molecule: long non-coding RNA, 1139 nt
Organism: Oncorhynchus tshawytscha (Chinook salmon)
Lineage: Eukaryota; Metazoa; Chordata; Actinopteri; Salmoniformes; Salmonidae
Exons: 2
Source: RefSeq, a predicted model, not a curated record